Molecule: transfer RNA, 90 nt
Filed under: Stegodyphus mimosarum
Lineage: Eukaryota; Metazoa; Arthropoda; Arachnida; Araneae; Eresidae
Rfam family: tRNA
About the family: Transfer RNA (tRNA) molecules are approximately 80 nucleotides in length.
Source: Rfam by way of RNAcentral
GCCUCGGUAGCGCAGUAGGCAGCGCGUCAAUCUCAUAAUCUCGUCACAAGAGCUAUCUGAAGGUCGUGAGUUCGAUCCUCACCCGGGGUA